UACCAGGUGGCCGAUUUAAGGUGUAAGUCUUUUAAACUUAUUAUAGCAAUGCUCCUUGUAU
This 61-nucleotide transfer RNA is filed under the name Caprella scaura. RNAcentral's name for it is "tRNA-Lys". Lineage: Eukaryota; Metazoa; Arthropoda; Malacostraca; Amphipoda; Caprellidae. The record is from RNAcentral.